CUCCCCUUUCUUUCUUUCAGAAUGUGGCGUCAGCUCAGUGUCCUAUCAGCAAGGGGUCCUGUCUGCCACCAUCCUCUAUGAGAUCCUGCUGGGGAAGGCCACCCUGUAUGCUGUGCUGGUCAGUGCCCUCGUGCUGAUGGCCAGGGUCAAGAGAAAGGAUUCCUGAAGCCAGCUCAAAGGUGGAGCCAGAAGCUUCAGCCUGUUAUUGCUCCAACAUGGAUUCUCCUUUUUCCAUUCCUAGCCAGUGCCUCUGAAGAGCUAUUCUAGUCUCUCUACUCAUCCCAAUAGCUACCCCCUUAUGUGCUUGCACACCUGGACACUCAUGACCGAAACCUCCCCGACCCAAGGGGGACCCUAGUUUGCGUAUAUUGACUGAACCAAUAAAAAUGGCUUCUUCUGGCUUGAUUCUGCCUU
Molecule: non-coding RNA, 414 nt
Organism: Ceratotherium simum simum (southern white rhinoceros)
Lineage: Eukaryota; Metazoa; Chordata; Mammalia; Perissodactyla; Rhinocerotidae
Source: RefSeq, a predicted model, not a curated record